RNAcentral lists this ribosomal RNA (596 nucleotides) under uncultured Spiroplasma sp. RNAcentral describes it as "bacterial SSU rRNA". It matches the Rfam family "Bacterial small subunit ribosomal RNA", at positions 9 to 603 of the family's 1533-position model. Lineage: Bacteria; Bacillati; Mycoplasmatota; Mollicutes; Entomoplasmatales; Spiroplasmataceae. The record is from RNAcentral.
GAGUUUGAUCAUGGCUCAGGAUUAACGCUGGCGGCAUGCCUAAUACAUGCAAGUCGAACGGAGUAGCAAUACUUAGUGGCGAACGGGUGAGUAACACGUAUCUAAUCUACCAUUUAGUGGGGAAUAACUGUUGGAAACGACAGCUAAUACCGCAUAAUAUUGCUGGAUAAUUUCCAGUAAUGAAAGGAGCUUUCAAGCUCCGCUGAUUGAUGAGGAUGCGGCGCAUUAGCUAGUUGGUAGGGUAAUGGCCUACCAAGGCAAUGAUGCGUAGCCGAUCUGAGAGGAUGAACGGCCACAUUGGGACUGAGACACGGCCCAAACUUCUACGGAAGGCAGCAGUAGGGAAUUUUUCACAAUGGGCGAAAGCCUGAUGGAGCAAUGCCGCGUGACUGAUGAAGGUCUUCGGAUUGUAAAGGUCUGUUGUAAGGGAAGAAAUGGUAAAACAGGAAAUGGUUUUAUCUAUGACGGUACCUUACCAGAAGGCCACGGCCAACUAUGUGCCAGCAGCCGCGGUAAUACAUAGGUGGCAAGCGUUAUCCGGAUUUAUUGGGCGUAAAGGGUGCGUAGACGGUUUUGCAAGUCUGAGGUUAAAUUUA